Molecule: long non-coding RNA, 4168 nt
Organism: Equus caballus (horse)
Lineage: Eukaryota; Metazoa; Chordata; Mammalia; Perissodactyla; Equidae
Source: Ensembl
GUAAAUAUUGCUUGAGCCCUUACUUUGUGUCAGACUGUGUCCCAGGCCCUGGGGGAUGCAAUGAUAAGCAAAACCAGAUUAGGUCCUGCCUUUGUGGAGUUUAGUGUCUUUUGGAGGAGACAGACGCAAUCAAAUAGCACAAAUGUACACGAGUACUUACAAACUGUGGUGAGGGGGAGGGAGCACAGGGAGAGCUUGUGACACAGGACCUGGCUGGUCUAGGGAGCCAGAGGAGGCACUGGGGAAAGGUGAGUGUCAUUUGAAUUGAGAUGUGAAGAAUGAAUUGGCGUUAGGCGAAAAGUGGUGACUGGAGAGCAUUUGAGACAGAGGUGCUGGUUAGGACUUGGAGACCUACAUCCAGGGAGCUGGGGCGGAGCACACAGCAAAGGUGGGGUAGGCUAGGAUAAGAAUUUGUUUAGGAGUUCUCCUAAGAAUGAUGGGAAUCCAAGGUCGAGUUUUAAGCUUGGGGCUGGGGCGGUAGGGUGGGCCCAGGGCUGGUGACAAGAUCAGAUCUGAAUUUUGAAAAGGCCUCUCUGGCAGCAGAAUAGAGGAUUACAGAGAACAAGAGUCAUGGCAGGAAGAUCUAUCAGAGAUUUGGUACUUUGAACAUUUCUCUUCACCUGGGAAUAGAACUAAUGCUCCUACCAACCCCAUGAAGUAGGUGCUGCCACCUCUAAUACAGACGCACAUGAUGUCCCACGCAGUUGUGAUUUAUCCCAGGUCACACAGCAGCAGAGCUGAGGCUGGAAUGCAAGACUCCUGCAUUCAAGGCCAGUGUCUCUCUACCAAACCCAGGAAUCUGAACGUCCUUGGAUAGGAAGAGUCCGUGGGUAUUUCCUGCUUUACCUUCUGUGAACUUGGGCGAGGUACCGCACACUGAGGACCAGGCAGGUUGGAGCUCAGCAGACGGGAAGGUUCUUUCCAGAUCUAGAUUCUGAAGUUCUCUGACGUGACCUCUUCAGGCAGUGUUUACUCUGCAGGUUUUUCUCUCGCCACCACUUUCUGUGGCCCUGCCUCCCCGCUGUACGGGAAGUAAUGUGAGGACAAGAACUGAGUCCUGAGCACCUCCUGCUGCAGCACCCACCCCAACCCCCCCGCCCCGGCCAGGGAAAGCUACUUCUGACGGUAGUACCCAAAAUAAUAUGCUGCUUCUCUGUUGUUAAUUUUGAAGGCAAGACGCUUAUUAUUUAUUAGUCAUUCCGAGACAGCCUAUUUAGAGCACUUAUUGCCUAUUUUGCAAACACACUUGAGUGAUAUGUACAUAUUGUGGUGUUUGACCCUGUAAAUAAGAGUUUAUUAUUAUCCUCAACUGCUCACACUGCCAUAUAAAAAAGUGACAUUAAUAUCUUACAUUUUCCCUCACUGUGGUUAAUGCUAACUAGCAAUCUAUGUUAACCAUUUUCAGACUGUCCUCAUGGGGAGCGAGAAAAAGAACGUCUUAUGCUAUUUGUGAGUGGAAAAUGGCAGACAGUCUAAGGAAAGACAAAUGGUUAAAGUUCGAGUGCUUUUUCCAUUUUCAGAUGUGUGGAACCCCUGUGGAGAUCCUUGUUGGGCAUAGGAGCGGGAGUAACCAAUCUUUGGUGUGCUGGAACUGAUUUUAUACAAACCUGUAAUACUGCCCACACUUGGUUUCAGCAUGAGAUGUCCAGACAGCCUUCUGUGGACUGUGGCCGUGGAAAACCAUCUGCUGAGAUGAGCAAAUCCAGAGUCUACUAAAUACCAGCAAUUGUCCUGCCGAGAACAGUUCUGUGCUCUGUGGGGAUGGGUGAUGCGAGUCAAGGAAAUUAUAGGCUGCCCAGCCACCAGACCUUCUGAAAAGAUUAUGGGGUGACUUACUGAUCUUUAGGUGGGUCAGGGGUUUUGAGGGAAGCUUAGAUUUAAAGCAUGUAGUUAGAGUUGAAAAGACUGGGUUUGGAAUCUCAGAGUUCAAGAGACCAGGCCUGGAGUCUCAGAGAGAUACAGGGUGGAAAGAGCUCCAGGCAAAAAUCUGGGCUCUAGUCCUGGUCCUGACACAGCGGGUGGGUGGACCCCCUCAGAGCCUCUGCACGGCAGCUGGGGCAGCCCCUCCGUCUUACAGAGUAGAAAAGCGCAGCUCAGCAAGCACAGGGGCUUGCUCGAGUCCUCCAGAUGAUUGGAGUGAGAACCAGGACUACAACUCACACGUUUUGAUGUCCCGGCCAGGAUGCUUUCUAAUACUUGAAAUCAUCGAAGUUCAGUACUCCUCUGUCAAAUUUUCUCUUCUUCUUUGGCAGCUUUCCUGGAGCUUCAGAUAUGCUACUUUUAAUACAUUUCAUAUGUAAUGAUGGAGGUGUAACUAGAGACAACCACAAAAAAAGUCAAUACAAGAGAAGGAGUUUGGGAGGUUUCGGUGUGAGUAUUGACCUUUGCCCCUCGUUCUGGGUUGAAGUGUGUUGCUCCCCCAAGUUCAUGUGUUGAACUCUCAACCUUCAGCACCUCAGAAUGUGACCUUAUUUGGAAAUAGGGUCACUGCACAUGUGAUGAGUUAAGAUGAAGUCAUACUGCAGCGGGUGGUCCCCAAUCCCACGUGACUAGUGUCCUUAGAAAGAGAGAAACCUGGACACAGACUCGCACACAGGGAGCACGUCGUGUGAAGAUGAAGGCACAGAUCCGGGUGGUAUUCCUAUGCGCCAAAGGUGGCCAGUAAACCACCGGACGCCAGGAGAGAGCCUGGAACAGAUUCUCCCUCACAUCCUCAGAGGGAAACAAUCCUGCUGGCACCUCGGUUUUGGACUGCUGGCCUCCAGAACUGUGCAACAAGUUUCUGCUGUUUAAGGCACCCGGUCUGUGGUGCUUGGUUGGAGCAGCCCCAGCAGACGCACGUGCUCUCCUCACCUGGUGCCCUUCUCAGAUGAGCACCGCGCUGGUUGUCCAUCGUGUGGUCUUUGUCAGCUUUUUCUCCUACCCAUGUAUUUAAUGCUCUUGAAAAUAUUUUUCUUAGUACUGAAAAGAGCUUGGUAACGGGGAAAAAACUUAGGGAAAAAGUAAGCAUCCAAUUUAAUUUUAAAGACUUUUAGUUUUAGGUUUUUUUGGACACAGAAUGAAAAACAUUCUCUAAAGCAAUUUCUUUAACAAUUUUGUCAAGGACUUUAUUGGCAUUCUCCUGUUUAGCCUACAGACCUAGGGUCAUUUAUCCAUCAAUUUGGUCCCAGAGUUUAUAUUACCUGUGAGAUUUGUGUCAAACUCUCCCUAACAGACAAUGAACUCCUUUUUUUUUGCCCUGAUUACUGCCCUCCCUUCCUAGCCAUGUCAGAAGCGCUCCCAGAGCACCAGGAUCAUUUGUUCUGUAGAGUAGCUGCUAAAAGUUCCCACCUCUUGUGGUGGAUCCCUUCAAGGUCCACUCUCCUAGUGAUGUCCUUGGCCUGAGCUGACCAGUCAGAAGCCAUGUCACAGACAGUCGAGCUGCCCUCUGCAGUCAAGUCCUCACAGGGGUGGCCUGGCAGGGGACCAUCACACGCGUCAGGGCUAUGCUUGCCUUUGUAGAUCCUGAAACUUAGCUUUGUCCCCUCGUUCAGAACUGUUCUAACUGCUUUGUGAGAAUGAAACUCUUAGCAAAAGGACAUGUGAGCCUGCAUGUCAAGAGGUGUGUAUCUGCCUGAGAAUUGGGGUAUCCACGCCGCUAGUGCCGAUGCUGCGUAGCAAGAGCUGGGUCGGAACAAAGGGAGCUGGUGCCUCUGAGAAAGUCUCAUGACCACUCCUGCCCCACAAAGCCGUUAAGUCCUCAUAUUCUGCACAGACCAGCUUACAUCUGUUACCAAAUUCUCCAGACAGGGUCAAAUACAAUUGAUCAGGUUAAAGCUUUCCGUUAGAUUAAUUAUACAGUUAACUAUAUAAAAUUGCCAUUUUUGUGGGUCAAAAACAGCCCGGUGUUGACAAGUUCACAUAGUUCGACCUAAUAGGUUUUUAAACUUUUAAUUUUAAUUUAAUUAUAGAUGAGCAAGAAGUUGCAAAAAUAGAAGUCCCAUGUCCCCAUCACCCAGCUUCCCCCAGUGGUGGCAUCUUACAUGAUAUGGCUCUCUAUCAAAACCAGGACGCUGACGUUGGCACUGUGCACUUGACGAGUUUACAGGUCGUACUUGGAUUUCCCCAACCUAAUAGCUUAGGGGGCUGCUCCGAGUUACUUCCACGGUGACACAUUUAACAAUCUUUC